Molecule: ribosomal RNA, 169 nt
Filed under: uncultured bacterium
Lineage: Bacteria
Description: partial 16S ribosomal RNA
Rfam family: Bacterial small subunit ribosomal RNA
Source: RNAcentral
CCUACGGGAGGCAGCAGUGGGGAAUAUUGGACAAGGGGCGAAAGCCUGAUCCAGCAAUACCGCGUGAGUGAUGAAGGCCUUAGGGUUGUAAAGCUCUUUUACCCGGGAUGAUAAUGACAGUACCGGGAGAAUAAGCACCGGCUAACUUCGUGCCAGCAGCCGCGGUAAU